This 528-nucleotide ribosomal RNA is filed under the name Paleoacanthoscelides gilvus. RNAcentral's name for it is "partial 16S ribosomal RNA". It matches the Rfam family "Bacterial large subunit ribosomal RNA", at positions 1807 to 2608 of the family's 2925-position model. Lineage: Eukaryota; Metazoa; Arthropoda; Insecta; Coleoptera; Chrysomelidae. The record is from RNAcentral.
UCAAAAACAUGGCUUAUUGAUUUUAAUUUUAGGUUUAGCCUGCCCCCUGAAUAUUAAAUGGCCGCGGUAUUUUGACUGUGCUAAGGUAGCAUAAUCAUUAGUUUCUUAAUUAGAAGCUGGUAUGAAUGGUUGGAUGAAAAAAUGGCUGUCUCUAUUUAAUUUAUAUAAAAAUUUAUUUUUUAGUAAAAAAGCUAAAAUAAUUUUGAAAGACGAGAAGACCCUAUAGAGUUUAAUAGAUAAAAUAUUUAUUAUUUAUUGGUAUAAAAAUUUAUAAUUUUUUAAUUUAUUUAAUUGGGGUGAUUGAAAAAUUUAAUAAACUUUUUUUAAUUUAAAACAUUAAUUUAUGAAUAAAUGAUCCAUUUUUUGUGAUUAAAAGAUUAAAUUACCUUAGGGAUAACAGCGUAAUAUUAUCCGAGAGUUCUUAUUGAAGAUAAAGAUUGCGACCUCGAUGUUGGAUUAAAAUUAAUUUUUGGUGUAGAAGCUAAAAAUAUUAGGUCUGUUCGACCUUUAAAAUUUUACAUGAUCUGA